This 917-nucleotide non-coding RNA is filed under the name Pan troglodytes (chimpanzee). The record is from RNAcentral. Lineage: Eukaryota; Metazoa; Chordata; Mammalia; Primates; Hominidae.
AAGGCGAGGCUCUGCAUCUAGAUUUACCUCGUUCUCUUUUGUCUCCGCUUUUUUUUCACAUUUCCUUGCGCCCCUGGCCCUUGAGCGACAAAAAGGGGAAGCCAAGGCUGGCCCGAGGAACGGAGAGGGCACAUGGCCUAGCCACGAGUGGAGCUUCUGCUCCGCCCGAAGGGAUGCGCUGGAGCGGCCUCUUCCUUCUGCCACGGUCUUUCUUUGCCAACUAGUAGAUUUGGACAUUUACAGUGUUCAGCCGUUGUUGUGGCAUUCCAAUUCAAUUGGGAAACAGCUUGAUGUAGCGUCCCCAUAAGGUCCACAGUAAUUAAUUUUUUUUUUUUUUUUUGGUUCAGUGGUGCAAUUUCAUGGCUCACUGCAACCUCCACCUCCCAGGUUCAAGCGAUCCUCCCAUCUCAGCCUCCCUAGUAGCUGGGAUUACAGGUGCACACCACCACACCAGGCUAAUUUUUGUAUUUUUAGUAGAGAUGGGGUUUCACCAGGUUAGCCAGGCUGGUCUUGAACUCCUGACCUCAAGGGAUCCGCCUGCCUCAGCUUUCCAAAGUGCUGGGAUUACAGGUGGAGACUGGACCUCAGAAGAGGGAGUGGGUGCCCCGAGAACUCACAGCUAGUGGACAGCGGAAAGGGCAGGAGCCGGACCAAGGUGAGGACAGCGGAACUGAAGGCCGCUGGUUACCUCUCCUGCCCUCUGCUGGCCACAGUGGAGAAGACAGCCCCUCCCUCCUGCUCUGACCUGACAGUGUUCAUCCAUCGCCCUGUAUUAGCGAAGAACAACAUCAAGCUGGCUAGCAAGGAACUGUAUACAGGGUCCAGCUGGGUAUCACACUGGAUCUCACCCAAAGCUGAGAUGUGAUCCAGCUCCGUAUCACAAAGCAGAACGAAAAGGAUGUGUUUGGGCUGAGAGG